Molecule: ribosomal RNA, 492 nt
Filed under: uncultured bacterium
Lineage: Bacteria
Description: partial 16S ribosomal RNA
Rfam family: Bacterial small subunit ribosomal RNA
Source: RNAcentral
AGUGAACGCUGGCGGUAGGCCUAACACAUGCAAGUCGAACGGCAGCACAGUAAGAGCUUGCUCUUACGGGUGGCGAGUGGCGGACGGGUGAGGAAUACAUCGGAAUCUACUUUUUCGUGGGGGAUAACGUAGGGAAACUUACGCUAAUACCGCAUACGACCUACGGGUGAAAGCAGGGGAUCUUCGUACCUUGCGCGAUCGAAUGAGCCGAUGCCGGAUUAGCUAGUUGGCGGGGUAAAGGCCCACCAAGGCGACGAUCCGUAGCUGGUCUGAGAGGAUGAUGAGCCACACUGGAACUGAGACACGGGCCAGACUCCUACGGGAGGCAGCAGUGGGGAAUAUUGGACAAUGGGCGCAAGCCUGAUCCAGCCAUACCGCGUUGGUUAAGAAGGCCUUCGGGUUGUAAAGCCAGUGUGUUGGGAAAGAAAAUCAGCAGGUUAAUACCCCGCUGUUCUGACGGUACCCAAAGAAUAAGCACCGGCUAACCUCGUG